GCCCGGGGUGGCCGGUGCGGGCCGCCCGUUCGGGGCGGCCGGCGAGGUGGCGGUCCCGCCGGGACGGGCCGGCUCCGGCCAGUCCUCGGCCCC
Molecule: transfer RNA, 93 nt
Filed under: Micromonospora sp. NBRC 101691
Lineage: Bacteria; Bacillati; Actinomycetota; Actinomycetes; Micromonosporales; Micromonosporaceae
Description: tRNA-Pro
Source: RNAcentral